GGGGUUGUGGCUCAGUGGUGGAGCGCUCGCCUAGCAUGCAGGAGGCACUGGGUUCAAUCCUCAGCACCA
Molecule: transfer RNA, 69 nt
Filed under: Ictidomys tridecemlineatus (thirteen-lined ground squirrel)
Lineage: Eukaryota; Metazoa; Chordata; Mammalia; Rodentia; Sciuridae
Description: Spermophilus tridecemlineatus (thirteen-lined ground squirrel) tRNA
Rfam family: tRNA
About the family: Transfer RNA (tRNA) molecules are approximately 80 nucleotides in length.
Source: Rfam by way of RNAcentral